RNAcentral lists this ribosomal RNA (749 nucleotides) under Coniochaeta sp. 1 BRO-2013. RNAcentral describes it as "eukaryotic LSU rRNA". The stretch from base 262 to 415 matches the Rfam family "5.8S ribosomal RNA". The record is from RNAcentral. Lineage: Eukaryota; Fungi; Ascomycota; Sordariomycetes; Coniochaetales; Coniochaetaceae.
GGCCGGAAAGCUAUCCAAACUCGGUCAUUUAGAGGAAGUAAAAGUCGUAACAAGGUCUCCGUUGGUGAACCAGCGGAGGGAUCAUUAUUAGAAGCCGAAAGGCUACUUAAAACCAUCGCGAACUCGUCCAAGUUGCUUCGGCGGCGCGGCCUCCCUCACGGGGGCGCCGCAGCCCCGCCUCUCCGGAGGUGUGGGGCGCCCGCCGGAGGUACGAAACUCUGUAUUAUAGUGGAAUCUCUGAGUAAAAAACAAAUAAGUUAAAACUUUCAACAACGGAUCUCUUGGUUCUGGCAUCGAUGAAGAACGCAGCGAAAUGCGAUAAGUAAUGUGAAUUGCAGAAUUCAGUGAAUCAUCGAAUCUUUGAACGCACAUUGCGCCCGCUAGUACUCUAGCGGGCAUGCCUGUUCGAGCGUCAUUUCAACCCUCAAGCCCUGCUUGGUGUUGGGGCCCUACGGCUGCCGUAGGCCCUGAAAGGAAGUGGCGGGCUCGCUACAACUCCGAGCGUAGUAAUUCAUUAUCUCGCUAGGGACGUUGCGGCGCGCUCCUGCCGUUAAAGACCAUCUUUAACUCAAGGUUGACCUCGGAUCAGGUAGGAAUACCCGCUGAACUUAAGCAUAUCAAUAAGCGGAGGAAAAGAAACCAACAGGGAUUGCCCCAGUAACGGCGAGUGAAGCGGCAACAGCUCAAAUUUGAAAUCUGGCUUCGGCCCGAGUUGUAAUUUGUAGAGGAUGCUUUUGGUGAGGUGCCUU